Megalobrama amblycephala (Wuchang bream) is the source of this 353-nucleotide long non-coding RNA. RefSeq lists it as uncharacterized. Lineage: Eukaryota; Metazoa; Chordata; Actinopteri; Cypriniformes; Xenocyprididae. The transcript is spliced from 3 exons. The record is from RefSeq and is a predicted model, not a curated record.
AUAGUUCGAGGGUUGUUUAAAAAAAUCCUGCUGUAAUGUGUUCGCGCUUCCUAUUGGCUGCGCUGGUGGUGCUAUAGCCCACUGAGUUCGAACGAUCUGCCGCAGAGCUAGAGAAAACUGCUGUGGAUGGAGCUGUAUUACAUCUACAUCACUCACUACUCUCUCUCUAUUUUCCACUGCUCUGUGCAGUGAGAACAGCAGAGCUGGAGAGAACUGCUGUGGAUGGAGCUGUAUUACAUCUACAUCACUCACUACUCUCUCUCUUUUCCACUGCUCUGUGCAGGAAAUAAAUUCAAAUAUCAUCCACAUUCUGGGUGUGUGUGCUGUUGAAGUGAGGGGGAAACCGGGCCAGA